Molecule: ribosomal RNA, 465 nt
Filed under: uncultured Klebsiella sp.
Lineage: Bacteria; Pseudomonadati; Pseudomonadota; Gammaproteobacteria; Enterobacterales; Enterobacteriaceae
Description: bacterial SSU rRNA
Rfam family: Bacterial small subunit ribosomal RNA
Source: RNAcentral
CCUACGGGUGGCAGCAGUGGGGAAUAUUGCACAAUGGGCGCAAGCCUGAUGCAGCCAUGCCGCGUGUGUGAAGAAGGCCUUCGGGUUGUAAAGCACUUUCAGCGGGGAGGAAGGCGUUAAGGUUAAUAACCUUGGCGAUUGACGUUACCCGCAGAAGAAGCACCGGCUAACUCUGUGCCAGCAGCCGCGGUAAUACGGAGGGUGCAAGCGUUAAUCGGAAUUACUGGGCGUAAAGCGCACGCAGGCGGUCUGUCAAGUCGGAUGUGAAAUCCCCGGGCUCAACCUGGGAACUGCAUUCGAAACUGGCAGGCUAGAGUCUUGUAGAGGGGGGUAGAAUUCCAGGUGUAGCGGUGAAAUGCGUAGAGAUCUGGAGGAAUACCGGUGGCGAAGGCGGCCCCCUGGACAAAGACUGACGCUCAGGUGCGAAAGCGUGGGGAGCAAACAGGAUUAGAUACCCGAGUAGUC